This 472-nucleotide ribosomal RNA is filed under the name uncultured bacterium. RNAcentral describes it as "bacterial SSU rRNA". It matches the Rfam family "Bacterial small subunit ribosomal RNA", at positions 355 to 825 of the family's 1533-position model. The record is from RNAcentral.
UCGGGAAUUUUGGGCAAUGGGGGAAACCCUGACCCAGCAACGCCGCGUGAGUGAAGAAGGCCUUCGGGUUGUAAAGCUCUUUUGUCAGGGAAGAAACGGUAGUAGCGAAUAACUAUUACUAAUGACGGUACCUGAAGAAUAAGCACCGGCUAACUACGUGCCAGCAGCCGCGGUAAUACGUAGGGUGCAAGCGUUAAUCGGAAUUACUGGGCGUAAAGCGUGCGCAGGCGGUUGUGUAAGUCAGAUGUGAAAUCCCCGGGCUCAACCUGGGAAUUGCAUUUGAGACUGCACGGCUAGAGUGUGUCAGAGGGGGGUAGAAUUCCACGUGUAGCAGUGAAAUGCGUAGAUAUGUGGAGGAAUACCGAUGGCGAAGGCAGCCCCCUGGGAUAACACUGACGCUCAUGCACGAAAGCGUGGGGAGCAAACAGGAUUAGAUACCCCUGUAGUCCCUGAGCGGGCUGGCAAGGCGCAU